This 429-nucleotide ribosomal RNA is filed under the name Pseudomonadota bacterium. Its description in RNAcentral is "Proteobacteria bacterium partial 16S ribosomal RNA". It matches the Rfam family "Bacterial small subunit ribosomal RNA", at positions 355 to 776 of the family's 1533-position model. The record is from RNAcentral. Lineage: Bacteria; Pseudomonadati; Pseudomonadota.
UGGGGAAUAUUGGACAAUGGGCGAAAGCCUGAUCCAGCCAUGCCGCGUGUGUGAAGAAGGUCUUCGGAUUGUAAAGCACUUUAAGUUGGGAGGAAGGGCAGUAAGCGAAUACCUUGCUGUUUUGACGUUACCGACAGAAUAAGCACCGGCUAACUCUGUGCCAGCAGCCGCGGUAAUACAGAGGGUGCAAGCGUUAAUCGGAAUUACUGGGCGUAAAGCGCGCGUAGGUGGUUCGUUAAGUUGAAUGUGAAAGCCCCGGGCUCAACCUGGGAACUGCGUCCAAAACUGGCGAGCUAGAGUAGGGCAGAGGGUGGUGGAAUUUCCUGUGUAGCGGUGAAAUGCGUAGAUAUAGGAAGGAACACAAGUGGCGAAGGCGACCACCUGGGCUCAUACUGACACUGAGGUGCGAAAGCGUGGGGAGCAAACAGG